Molecule: ribosomal RNA, 253 nt
Filed under: uncultured bacterium
Lineage: Bacteria
Description: partial 16S ribosomal RNA
Rfam family: Bacterial small subunit ribosomal RNA
Source: RNAcentral
UACGUAGGGUGCGAGCGUUGUCCGGAAUUAUUGGGCGUAAAGCGCACGUAGGCGGCUUUGCAAGUCGGAUGUGAAAUCCCUCGGCUUAACCAAGGAAGUGCAUCCGAAACUGCAGAGCUUGAGUACUUAAGAGGAUCGCGGAAUUCCCGGUGUAGCGGUGGAAUGCGCAGAUAUCAGGAGGAACACCAAUAGCGAAGGCAGCUCGCUGGGACGUUACUGACACUGAGGCGCGAAAGCGUGGGGAGCGAACAGG